UACGUAGGGCGCAAGCGUUAUCCGGAAUUAUUGGGCGUAAAGAGCUCGUAGGCGGUUUGUCGCGUCUGCCGUGAAAGUCCGGGGCUCAACUCCGGAUCUGCGGUGGUACGGGCAGACUAGAGUGAUGUAGGGGAGACUGGAAUUCCUGGUGUAGCGGUGGAAUGCGCAGAUAUCAGGAGGAACACCGAUGGCGAAGGCAGGUCACUGGGCCGCAACUGACGCUGAGGAGCGAAAGCGUGGGGAGCGAACAGG
This 252-nucleotide ribosomal RNA is filed under the name uncultured bacterium. Its description in RNAcentral is "partial 16S ribosomal RNA". It matches the Rfam family "Bacterial small subunit ribosomal RNA", at positions 524 to 776 of the family's 1533-position model. The record is from RNAcentral.